RNAcentral lists this long non-coding RNA (8543 nucleotides) under Sus scrofa (pig). RNAcentral describes it as "lncRNA (ENSSSCG00015041462.1)". Lineage: Eukaryota; Metazoa; Chordata; Mammalia; Artiodactyla; Suidae. The record is from RNAcentral.
ACUGAAAAUCAUCCCCUGACUAGUCAAUCCCAAAUUCACCUGCAAAUCCUCAUCCUGACACAAUCAGGAAGAUGUCAAAUGCAGGCACAUCAUGGACAGAUCUUGUACAUCUUUUCAGCAAUUCACCUUGGCCCUGAGCUAGAAGGAACUCCUGUUAGAGCUUCCAGGGACUUAAAAAUUUCAUUGAGGAGACAGUUUUCUUUCAACCUUCAUGUCCAAUUCUGACACAGUCCUAAGAGCUGCCCGUAAUAUCCAGAAGGAGGAAGAUGUGCCUAAGGUGAACCACCAGAGGACUACCUUAUAGGUGCUCAAGAUGCUCCAAUUGAUGGAAGUAUUCAAAGGUGAAGCCACAGAGCAUGGAAGUAAACACUUCAAAAUGAGAGCAUGAAAAUCUGGACUGACAUGGACGGGGGAUGGGAUUUUGUCUGAGAGGUUCACAUACUAAGAGGAAAAAAUAUGUCCACGGAUUCUUAGGUAAGUUCUAUAAUAUAAUUAUUUCUAAGAAUUACAUGAAGCCAAUUCUUACCUGGAGAAACGGUUGACUGUACCUGCUCCCCAUGAACUUCAACAACAACAACAAAAAUCUGUUAGAAAGAUAAUGAAACAAACUCUACUUUGGGUGAGAAAAAAAAAAUAGGUAAUCACAUGCGAAGUUGAUUCCUUUCUAAGCCCUUAACACACGUUGGUUUAAUUCUCAGAACAACCUGGUAAGGUAAGUACAAAGUAUCCCAUUUUACAUAGGAGGAACUUAGGCUCAGAGAGUUUCAAUGUGUUUGUAAAGGUCAUUAUCUUAUCUAAAGUUAAGAGUCAGUAAGUGGCAGAGCCCAAAGUAAUACUGAGAUCUAACUAAUUCCUAAAUCUCUCUUACUUCAUGUCGCAUUUCUUUCUUCCAAAGUAAGUGGCUUUGUUCUGACUGCCCAGAGAUAUGCAUAUUCUGUAAUUACGGUCAGAUAUAGAAAAUGUUAACUCAUGUGAAGUUGAAAAGGUUUUUAAGAGGUAAAAUGUAUUUUUACAUGUCCUUUCGUUUGCUUAUGUGAUGUUUCUAAAACUUUCCCUGGGUUUAGAAUGUGUACCUUCCUAAUGUGGUUAAGACACAAUGGAACAUUGGUAAAUAAAGCUUUUAUUAGGCUCCUGUAAAGUGCCCUGGAGGGAAAAAACAUUCUCUGUGACACCAUCACUCUACUCUAUCCUCAGACAUUCUUGUCAUCUUAUUGCGCAGUUUCUGGACAGAUUUUAUAGUAGUCAUUAGUUCAGUUAUUGACACUCAAAGAAAAAAUUGGUAAUCCAAGUAGUUCAGGUAAUAAGUUUUAUAGUAAUUUUAUAAUAAAGUAACUGAUUUUUGUAACGAGUUAUGUAACAAAUUAGCUCUCUGAAGAAGUUAAACUUAAAAUCGAAACAUACAUUUAUUGAAAAAUCAGUAUGUUUAAAUAUGCUAUAAAAACAAAUUUGAUACAAUUAAAUUUGAUACAUUUUAAAAAUAUUUGAAUCUCAGUGAACUCAAAACUUCUGGCAGAUUUUUUCCUGACCCUAAAUUUUAUUAUUUAGAUCAUUUAAAUCGUUUGUUUGUUUAUAGUUGAUUUACAAUGUUGUGCCAAUUUCUGUUGUAUAGCAAAAUGACUCACUCAUACAUAUAUAUAUAUAUACAUACUUUUUAUAUUAUUUUCCACUAUGUUCUGUCUCAGGAGAUUGGAUGUAGUUCUCUAUGAUACACAGUAGGACCUUAUUGUUUAUCCAUUCUAAAUGUAAUAAUUUGCAUCUACCAACUCCAAGUUUCUAGCACUGCCCACUCCCUCCCUUCUGCCCCUGGCAACCACAAGUUUUUCUCUAUGUUUGUGAGUCUGUUUCUGUUUUAUAGAUAGGUUCAUUUGUGCUAUAUUUUAGAUUUUGCAUAUAAAUGAUAUCAUGGUAUUUGUCUUUCUCUUUCUGUCUUACUUUACUUAGUAGGAGAAUCUCUAGUUUUCACCCAUGAUGCUGCAAAUGGCAUCACUUCAUUCUUUUUUUUGGCUGAGUAGUAUUCCAUUAUGUGUAUGUACCACAUUGUCUUAGUCCACUCAUCUGUCGAGGGGCACUUAAGUUGUUGCCAUGUCUUGGCUAUUGUGAAUAGUGCUACUGUGAACAUAGGGGUACAUGUAUUCUUUUUUUUUUUUUUUGUCUUUUUGUCUUUUUCUACGGCCACACCCGUAGCAUAUGGAGGUUCCCAGGCUAGGGGGCUAAUUGGAGCUGUAGCCACUGGCCUACACCACAGCCACAGCAACGCCAGAUCUGAGCCAUGCCUGUGACCUACACCACAGCUCAUGGCAAUGCUGGAUCCCUAACCCACUGAGCAAGACCAGGGAUCGAACCUGCAACCUCAUGGUUCCUAGUCAGAUACGUUAACCACUGAGCCACAACAGGAACUCCACAUGUAUCUUUUUGAAUUAUAGUUUUGUCUGGAUAUAUACCCAGGGAUGAGAUUGCUGGCUUAUGUGGUAGUUCUAUUUUUAGUUUUCUGAGGAAUCUCCAUGCUGUUUUCUAUAGUAGUUGCACCAACUUACAUUCCCACCAACAUUGUAGGAGGGUUUCCUUUCCUCCAUACCCUCUCCAGCAUUUGUUAUCGGUAGAUGGACAUUCUGACUGGUUUUAGGCGGUACCUCAUUGCAGUUCUGAUUUGCAUUUCUCUAAUAAUUAACUAUGUUGAGCAUCUUUUCAUGUGCCUACAAGGCUCAGUAAAUCUUUAUUGAUAUCUACCUAUUUUAUUUGUCUGAUGGAGAAGCCAUGCUACACUAAAUUACACCAGAACAGGAAAGAGAAGAUCUCUUUGGAACUACUACAAUGAGGAAAUAACAUUGGAAACUAUUAAGCUUUUUUAAUUACUAGUUAAAAUUUAUUAAAGCAAGAACUUUGUCUCAUCCCAUAGGAUCUAAGAUAGUCCGUGGUACAAAGUAAGUCUUAGUGGCUGGUUUGUGUUACACAGUUCUGAAAGGUCUGUAAUUUGUGCAUAAUGGAGAUCUAUGAUUUCAUGGACUAAAAGAUUCUACUGUAUCUAAUCUUGUAGAAGUAAUAUUUUUCUUUGGAACAUUCUCUGGUUGAUGGUCUUCAACAACUUUCUACUCCUAUUCCAAUAAAAAUAAAUUAUAAGUGAAUAACAAUAUUAAAUUAUUCUUUAGUUUCCAUUACCAGGGAGCACUCUAAGCAAUAUAUGGAAACAUAAAAGGAAAAGGCAGUUUCUAAGUUAAUGACAAUUUAAACUAUGUAGCACUUUUAAGACAAAAAUUUUAAAAAUGCAGAUAUACAUUUAUAUAUAUUAAUGUUAUUUAUAUGUGUUUUAAUAUAUACUUUCUAAAGUAUUUGCAUUUUAAUCUGGUUCCUUCCUCUCUUCCUUUUUAAAAAUCUCUCAUUCUCCUCACAUGUGUAAACAGCAGAAAUAGGCAUGUGAGAAGUAUCACAAACCUGUAGACAUUUUCACUCACCUCUGUGAGUGAAUAAAUAGGGAAAGCACUUGUGUUUGCUGUACAUGUAUUACCUAUGAACUUGAACCAUAUAAAAUUGUACUUUUUCUAGAUUAAAAUGGUCAGAUAUUGACUAGUUCAUAGAGUUCAGGUAAUAUAUUACAAAUUUCGUUCCACUGGUGUUCUGUGAUAAUAAAAUAUUUCCUCCUCUUUUUUAUGUUUAAUGAAACUAUACUCAGUGUAUACAGAACUGCUCAUAAUUCUAAAGCUGAUUGGUAUUCUAUUUUCUGGUUUGGUUAACUCAAUCAGUUAAGACACUAUACUACUGAGCCAUUUAAUUUAUCAAUAAAAUAUCUGCAAAUGUGGGUUUUUAAUUACAAAGAAGAGCUAGUAAAGGGGUAUGGAUUUUUCCUUGUCCAUCCAAGGUUUAUUUCUCUUAUAGUAACUUCUUCCUCCAUUAUUUUCCCUAAUAUCCCGAAGUAUAAACUUUCAUCUCUCUCCAUUUAAUGCAAAUUUCAGCCCUCCUACCAACUCUUUACUGCUUAUUAGAGAAGUCAUGGCUCAGGAAAAAAAUUAAUAGUCCAUAGUUUGCACAUUUUUAAGAGUUUUUUUUUUCAAAACUAAAUUUAAAAAUGUGGUUGGAGGUGUUUUCAUAAGGAUAAAUGAAUUUCUUAAGACAUUUUCAUUGUAGCAUUUAUUAUUUUUUAUUUCUCGAAAUAUUUUCUUUAAAUUAUGCAUGAUGAUUAUGUUUAUGCAAAUAUUCCUAAAUAUGAUGCAAGUUAGUCCCCUAUAAUCCAUAUGCAUAAUAUAUCAUAAUUUUCUUUUGCUCCACUUGUCACAUUUAUAAUCAAAUACUUACUUGUAAUAUUAUUUUGAAUUAUAUAUUGAGAGAAAAUAUGUAUUCAUUAAUGAAGAUUUAUUAAUUAUGAAUUACUUACUGCAGUAAAUACAGAAACUUUUACAGUGCCAGACACAUAAUAGGUGCUUAUACUUUCUGACUAAAUAUCUGGAUGAUUGAAAUAGUAUAGUAUAAAUCAAAAUACAAAGGCACAUAAUUGUGAAAUUGGAUCGUGAAAAUGCUAACUUUCUUGAGCAGGUAAAACUCAAAAAAAAAGGAAACACAAAUGGUUAAUAAUUCUACAAGAAAAGGUUAAACCUAACUAAUGAUUAAAGAAUUAUAAAUUAAAGCAACAAAAUGCCAUUUUUACUUAUCAGAUUGGCAAACUUUAAAAUGGUUGAUAAUAUCUAGUGCUGGUAAGAAUGUGGUGAAAUGUUUAUGCUUAUAUGCCUUUGGAGGCAACAUAAAUUAGUGCGGCUCUUAAGAGAAAUUUGCCUUAUCUUUUAAUAUUUAUAGUUACUGUCUAAUGACUCAGCAAUCAUGCUUAUAGGCAUUUAUCCUAUAAAUCUAUUCAGGCAAGUGAGAGGUGAUACAUGCCCCAGUUUGUAUAUUGUAGUAUUUCAAAAAAUGAAGGGAAAAAGCUAGAAACAGUAAACAUUUUACCAUUUUUUUGAAUAAAACUCACAACUAUUGAAGCUAAUUUCUUUUAUGCUUAUUGAAGAGAGAGGAUUUGGGAAUGAGAGGAUGAUUUUUCUUCUAAAAUAUCCUUUAUAUACAUAUAUUCUGUCAAAUGGGCUGCAGCCUUUUAUUACUGUAGAUAAUUGUAUUAUUUGUUAUUGAUCUUUCUUCAGAUGACAACAUUUAUUAUUUUUACAGAAAUUGUGUAAAUGAGGAAAACUGUAAAAAGAUUUUUCCUCUCAGUUUAUUUUGCGGCAAGUGUCAGUCUUUACUGUGAAUGUAAAUUUCAGGGUUAAAAUUAAUAAUCCUAGAAGGAGAAGUGCAAAUCAUACAACCUCCUCUCUUACCCAGGUAAAAGUUUAAGGAAAACACAAAUGAAUCACGCAUUUCUGUAUAAUCUGUGCUUUUGUCAAAAGGUUGCCAUGACUCAUUUAUGACUUUCCAUAGUUUUAAAACCAGUGUUUUUAACCAUAGAAAAUCUACUUCAUGGUCCUAUUAUGACAACUGUUGAGUCAAUAAUAGACUCUUUAGUUCAUGCAUGGAUGUUUUUGUAGAAAUAAACCAAGUACAACUGUCCCUUGCUAAUACUCCAUGAAGCGGAAUCCUAAACAAAGAAAGAGAGAGAUUAUAAAACCAAGUUCUCCUACAUGCAUUACUUUGGGUGCUAUAUACUGUGUGGGGUGCCAGAGAUACCACCUCAUUUGAUUGUCAUAGCUCCCUGAAGGAUCAGCUACAGCUCAAGGAUCAAGUAGCUGCUAAGAAUGCAAAGGACUAGAUUUGAACCCAAAUUCAUAUGAUUUCAAAUAUCACUUACAGGUCCAAAUGACCAGGCAGUCCUGACUUAAUUCAGUGCAACAUCUGUUCUUUCUUUUAGCUAGCCCCACAGUGAUCAGGAUCAGAUCUUUGGGACAGUAUUCUGUGAAAUAAAUGCUUUGCUACUCAGUUAUAAGCAGCGUGCCCUGGCAUUGAGAUAGAAACAAUAUUUAUGGAUCAUUCUAAUGUAUCGUUUUAACCAGUGGUCUUAUUGUGGUCCUACGUAUGAUUGAAAGAAAAGAGAUAGGAGUUCCUAAUAUGACUUGGCAUAAGAAACCUGACUAGUAUCCAUGAGGAUGCAGGUUUGAUCCCUGGUCUCGCUCAGUGCAUUCAUGAUCUGGCAUUGCAAUAAGCUGUGGUGUAGAUUGCAGACGCAGCCCUAGUCCUGCGUUGCUGUGGCAUACAUAGGCCAGAAGCUGCAGCCCUGAUUUGACCCCUAACCUGGGAACUUCCAUGUGCUACAGGUGUGGCCUUGAGAGCAAUAAAUAAAUAAAUGAAUAAAUAAAAAGUCCUCUGGAUUUCCAACACUGGUAAUAAUAAACACCCCUUUAAAAAGUGGGCAUUACCUGUGGGUAUUCUUUUGAAGUCAUUCUUCUCUAGAGGGAUUGCAUUAAAUGAAUUGACUUUGACUUGGCCACGAAGAGAGGAAAACUUGCUUCAAUAAUUCAGAAUAUUUCAGGAGCUUAAUUCCUCAAGAAAAUAUUUUAUUUGCCUCAUUUUUCCUUUGAGGUCCCUUUCAAGCUGCAUACUUUAUUUUAGCUCUCAAUUCAUUUCAUUUUGUGUAGAAAGAAUAGUAAUAAUAAAAAAAGGACACUGCAGAAAUUGAGAUAAUACAGCUGUUUCUACUACCAUGUCUUUAUGUCUCUUUAAAAGCAACAAGAGGCUCAUAAACAUUAGAAUUAACUGAGAGUGAAAUCCCAUCUCUUAGCCAUAUAUCACAUUUCUUAUAUCAUAGCACUUACUUAAAAGUCAUGUUACUGUUUUCUUUAACUCAGAAGCUCUGACUCAAGAAUAAUAUGCCCCUAACAUGACUGAUGUGUCUCUUAUAACUACAUAGGGUAAAAGCUUAAACUAUUGUGUGUGCCUGGAGUUGCUGCUCUAUCAUCUUAGUUAAUUUUCUUCAUGUCCCAUGUUUUGUUGUCUCUCAUAAGUGACUGUAUUUAAGAAAAAGAGAAAAUUGGGUGUGGUUAUUUAUGCAGGUCCUAUGGUUAAUACACUCCUAAAGUAGGUACCUGCUAUCUUUAUUACUGCAAACACCAUAGAUUCUAUGGUUCAUGUUUGGAAAGAAAAGAAUAAACAAUUUUAGCAUACAAAAUUGAGAUGAAUUGCAACUCUAUGGUUUGAGCAAUUUGAAUUCUUAAGAUACAUGUCCUAGUUAUAUAUUGAGAGGUUUAUUAAUUAAACCCAGCUUGAUCUCUGGACCUCAUGUGCUAAGAACUUUAAUUUGAAGGCUUGCCUACUUUGCUUUUGAUGCCACUUAGGGUCCAAAAUUAUUGUACUGAAAUAGUUCUCAAACCCUGAUUCACCUUUAAUGAGGAGAAAUCACAUUAUUAGAUCAUCCAAACACUUCUAUUUACCAGUCACAUCUUGUCACAGCUUUAGUAGCAGCUGUCCACAGAUAUAAGUUUUCACAAAUGAAAAAUCAGGAUAGGAAAGGCAGGUGUCACCUAGAAAAUCUUGAACUCUUUCCAAGAGGCAUUUUGUUGAAUUGCUAAACUGAUAAACUUAGGUUCUCUCACAAGGCUCCAGGGAGGAGCUCAUCAAGCACGUGGUAGCUCCCCGCCCCCAACAGCCAUCAUUAAGUAGAAACCCCUAAGUUUAGAAAAAUAUAAAAUGUUCCUAUCAGUCACGAUUCUUAAGAAAGCCCAUUCGAAUUGUGAUUAAGUUAAAUAGGAAGCCCCUGAAAUUCAAGUCUGCAUAUUUUUUUCUUAGAGCAAAUGUUUUUAAUUUAAUCAAAGAAGAAAAUGAAAAAGACAUGUCUUUCAUAUUUACCAAUGCCUUCAUUUGUUUUCAGAUGCCUCCUCCUCCUACCUCUUAAAUUCAGAUAUUUCUUGAGGAUCCUCAUUGUAGGUGCCUCUUUGAAAGGCUUUCACUUCCUACUCAACUAGCAUCUCUGCAUACAGCACUCCAGGUCAUAAUCUUUGCUCUUUUUGGGAUCCACAUUCUGAAUAUUUAUUGGCUAUGGAUCCAAUUCUGCCACUAAUUUUACUUUUUAAAUUACUCAUGAAGCAGCUCCUGUUAUAAGCACUUUACGUGCAUUUGCUCAUUUAAGUCUUACCACAAAUAGUAAAGAGUACAUUAUGGUUCUUGAUGUACAGAAAGGGAAACAGAAACUUAAAGAAAGGUUAAGAGGAAGCUGCUCCAAACUGACCCAGCUAGUGAGAGACAGAGCUGGGACUUCAGCCUAGGUGGUUCUUCCUCGAAAGCCUGUGAGCUUGACCACUAGGCUGUUGGAAAUCACUUUUCUCACUCUGGUUUGAAACCUGAGGUGAAUCUUUGACAUUUUCUUUUAUUGUUUACUUGCUAGACUACAGGCAAAAUAAAGAUACAAUUUUGGGAGUUCCUGCUGCGGCUCAGCAGAAACAAAUCCCACCAGUAUCCGUGAGGAGGAUGUGGGUUUGAUCCCUGGCCUCACUUGGUGGGUUAAGGAACCAGUAUUGUCGUGAGCUAUGGUGUAGGUUGCAGACAUGGUUUGGAUCUGGCAUUGCUGUGGCUGUGGUGUAGGCCAGCAGCUGCAGUUCCAAUUAAACCCCUAGCCUGUACCUCCAUAUGCCACCGGUGUGGCU